AGCUCAGUUGGCAGAGUGCUUGCCUUGCAUGCAGAAGGCCCUGGGUUCAAUCCCCAG
This 57-nucleotide transfer RNA is filed under the name Ictidomys tridecemlineatus (thirteen-lined ground squirrel). RNAcentral describes it as "Spermophilus tridecemlineatus (thirteen-lined ground squirrel) tRNA". It matches the Rfam family "tRNA", at positions 9 to 63 of the family's 71-position model. Rfam says of the family: Transfer RNA (tRNA) molecules are approximately 80 nucleotides in length. Their secondary structure includes four short double-helical elements and three loops (D, anti-codon, and T loops). Further hydrogen bonds mediate the characteristic L-shaped molecular structure. tRNAs have two regions of fundamental functional importance: the anti-codon, which is responsible for specific mRNA codon recognition, and the 3' end, to which the tRNAs corresponding amino acid is attached (by aminoacyl-tRNA synthetases). tRNAs cope with the degeneracy of the genetic code in two manners: having more than one tRNA (with a specific anti-codon) for a particular amino acid; and 'wobble' base-pairing, i.e. permitting non-standard base-pairing at the 3rd anti-codon position. The record is from Rfam by way of RNAcentral. RNAcentral also lists the same sequence under 1 other name. Lineage: Eukaryota; Metazoa; Chordata; Mammalia; Rodentia; Sciuridae.